GCGGGAAUAGCUCAGUUGGUAGACCACGACCUUGCCAAGGUCGGGGUCGCGAGUUCGAGUCUCGUUUCCCGCUCCA
This 76-nucleotide transfer RNA is filed under the name Escherichia coli. RNAcentral describes it as "tRNA-Gly". It matches the Rfam family "tRNA". Rfam says of the family: Transfer RNA (tRNA) molecules are approximately 80 nucleotides in length. Their secondary structure includes four short double-helical elements and three loops (D, anti-codon, and T loops). The record is from RNAcentral. Lineage: Bacteria; Pseudomonadati; Pseudomonadota; Gammaproteobacteria; Enterobacterales; Enterobacteriaceae. RNAcentral also lists the same sequence under 2 other names.